GGUUCGAUUAUGGCUCAGAUUUGAACGCUGGGCGGCAGGCCUAACACAUGCAAGUCGAACGGUAACAGGAAGCAGCUUGCUGCUUCGCUGACGAGUGGCGGACGGGUGAGUAAUGUCUGGGAAACUGCCUGAUGGAGGGGGAUAAAUACUGGAAACGGUAGCUAAUACCGCAUAACGUCGCAAGACCAAAGAGGGGGACCUUAGGGCCUCUUGCCAUCGGAUGUGCCCAGAUGGGAUUAGCUAGUAGGUGGGGUAACGGCUCACCUAGGCGACGAUCCCUAGCUGGUCUGAGAGGAUGACCAGCCACACUGGAACUGAGACACGGUCCAGACUCCUACGGGAGGCAGCAGUGGGGAAUAUUGCACAAUGGGCGCAAGCCUGAUGCAGCCAUGCCGCGUGUAUGAAGAAGGCCUUCGGGUUGUAAAGUACUUUCAGCGGGGAGGAAGGGAGUAAAGUUAAUACCUUUGCUCAUUGACGUUACCCGCAGAAGAAGCACCGGCUAACUCCGUGC
RNAcentral lists this ribosomal RNA (511 nucleotides) under uncultured bacterium. Its description in RNAcentral is "bacterial SSU rRNA". It matches the Rfam family "Bacterial small subunit ribosomal RNA", at positions 10 to 508 of the family's 1533-position model. The record is from RNAcentral.